CAGCUACUCGGGAGAUUGGGGCAGGAGAAUGGCGUGAACCUGGGAGGCAGAGCUUGCAGUGAGCCGAGAUCACACCACUGCACUCCAGCCUGGGCAACAGAGUGAGACUUCGUCUCAACAACAACAACAAAAAAAUUAAAAAAAGAGAAAAAUUUAAAUAAUUUGUGAUGCUGAGGUUUGGAGUACGAUUGAUCCUGUCACCCAGGUACUGAGCAUAGUACCCAAUAGGCAGUUUUUCAACCCCCUUUCUUCCCCCCCAUCUAGUAGUCUCCAGUGUCUAUGGUUGCCAUCUUUAUUUUUUAUUGUUAUUAUUUUUCGAGACAGAGUCUUGUUUUGUCGCCCAGGCUGCAGUGCAGUGGUGCAAUCUCAGCUCCUCCGCCUCCCGGGUUCAAGCAAUUCUGCUGCCUCAGCCUUCCGAG
This 419-nucleotide long non-coding RNA is filed under the name Homo sapiens (human). RNAcentral describes it as "HSALNT0262355". The record is from RNAcentral. Lineage: Eukaryota; Metazoa; Chordata; Mammalia; Primates; Hominidae.